GCGAGGAUAAUUCAGUGGUAGAAUGUCAGCUUCCCAAGCUGAAUACGCGGGUUCGAUUCCCGUUCCUCGCUCCA
Molecule: transfer RNA, 74 nt
Filed under: Omnitrophica WOR_2 bacterium GWA2_47_8
Lineage: Bacteria; Pseudomonadati; Candidatus Omnitrophota
Description: tRNA-Gly
Rfam family: tRNA
About the family: Transfer RNA (tRNA) molecules are approximately 80 nucleotides in length. Their secondary structure includes four short double-helical elements and three loops (D, anti-codon, and T loops). Further hydrogen bonds mediate the characteristic L-shaped molecular structure. tRNAs have two regions of fundamental functional importance: the anti-codon, which is responsible for specific mRNA codon recognition, and the 3' end, to which the tRNAs corresponding amino acid is attached (by aminoacyl-tRNA synthetases). tRNAs cope with the degeneracy of the genetic code in two manners: having more than one tRNA (with a specific anti-codon) for a particular amino acid; and 'wobble' base-pairing, i.e. permitting non-standard base-pairing at the 3rd anti-codon position.
Source: RNAcentral